CUCCUUCCCUCCCAAACCUUCUGAGGGAGUAAUUUUUGUUCAACAUCGGCUUGAGCCCCCAGGAUCCUGCGAGUAUUCCAUCUUUUCUUUUCUCUUCUUUUCUUCCGUCCUUCUUCUUUUUCUUGCUUUCUCUCCCCCCAUCUUUCCUUCUCUCUCUCUUUUUUUCUUUUUCUCUUUUUUUUUUACGUGUCAUUUCUUCCUUUUUCACCCCACUACUGAUUUUCGAUUUUUUUUUUAAGGAA
This 242-nucleotide long non-coding RNA is filed under the name Elaeis guineensis (African oil palm). RNAcentral's name for it is "long non-coding RNA (EGUI_LNC015993)". The record is from RNAcentral. Lineage: Eukaryota; Viridiplantae; Streptophyta; Magnoliopsida; Arecales; Arecaceae.